This 644-nucleotide ribosomal RNA is filed under the name Salmonella enterica subsp. enterica serovar Newport. RNAcentral's name for it is "partial 23S ribosomal RNA". It matches the Rfam family "Bacterial large subunit ribosomal RNA", at positions 2202 to 2840 of the family's 2925-position model. Lineage: Bacteria; Pseudomonadati; Pseudomonadota; Gammaproteobacteria; Enterobacterales; Enterobacteriaceae. RNAcentral also lists the same sequence under 1 other name. The record is from RNAcentral.
ACCCUUUAAUGUUUGAUGUUCUAACGUGGACCCGUAAUCCGGGUUGCGGACAGUGUCUGGUGGGUAGUUUGACUGGGGCGGUCUCCUCCUAAAGAGUAACGGAGGAGCACGAAGGUUGGCUAAUCCUGGUCGGACAUCAGGAGGUUAGUGCAAUGGCAUAAGCCAGCUUGACUGCGAGCGUGACGGCGCGAGCAGGUGCGAAAGCAGGUCAUAGUGAUCCGGUGGUUCUGAAUGGAAGGGCCAUCGCUCAACGGAUAAAAGGUACUCCGGGGAUAACAGGCUGAUACCGCCCAAGAGUUCAUAUCGACGGCGGUGUUUGGCACCUCGAUGUCGGCUCAUCACAUCCUGGGGCUGAAGUAGGUCCCAAGGGUAUGGCUGUUCGCCAUUUAAAGUGGUACGCGAGCUGGGUUUAGAACGUCGUGAGACAGUUCGGUCCCUAUCUGCCGUGGGCGCUGGAGAACUGAGGGGGGCUGCUCCUAGUACGAGAGGACCGGAGUGGACGCAUCACUGGUGUUCGGGUUGUCAUGCCAAUGGCACUGCCCGGUAGCUAAAUGCGGAAGAGAUAAGUGCUGAAAGCAUCUAAGCACGAAACUUGCCCCGAGAUGAGUUCUCCCUGAGACUUAGAGUCUCCUGAAGGAACGUUG